RNAcentral lists this unclassified non-coding RNA (143 nucleotides) under Dimorphospora foliicola. RNAcentral describes it as "partial internal transcribed spacer 2". The record is from RNAcentral. Lineage: Eukaryota; Fungi; Ascomycota; Leotiomycetes; Helotiales; Helotiaceae.
GACCAAAUCACGCCUGGCGUGGUCUUGGGGUCUGCCAUCUGGCAACCCUUAAACGCAGUGGCGGCGCCGCAGGGCUCUCAGCGUAGUAAACUCUCUCGCUGUGGGGUCCCCGCGGACGCUUGCCAGCAACCCUCAAUACUCUA